This 120-nucleotide microRNA precursor is filed under the name Pteropus vampyrus (large flying fox). RNAcentral describes it as "miRNA (ENSPVAG00000025339.1)". Lineage: Eukaryota; Metazoa; Chordata; Mammalia; Chiroptera; Pteropodidae. The record is from RNAcentral.
UGUGUGCGUGUGUGCCUGUGCGUGUGCAUGUGCAUGUGUGUGUGCGUGCAUGUGUGUGUGCGUGCAUGUGUGUGUGCAUGUGUGUGUGCAUGUGCAUGUGUGUGCGUGUGCAUGUGUGUG